GACGAACGCUGGCGGCGUGCUUAACACAUGCAAGUCGAACGGAAAGGCCCUGCUUUUGUGGGGUGCUCGAGUGGCGAACGGGUGAGUGACACGUGAGUAACCUGCCCUUGACUUUGGGAUAACUUCAGGAAACUGGGGCUAAUAUCGGAUAGGAGCUCCUGCUGCAUGGUGGGGGUUGGAAAGUUUCGGCGGUUGGGGAUGGACUCGCGGCUUAUCAGCUUGUUGGUGGGGUAGUGGCUUACCAAGGCUUUGACGGGUAGCCGGCCUGAGAGGGUGACCGGCCACAUUGGGACUGAGAUACGGCCCAGACUCCUACGGGAGGCAGCAGUGGGGAAUAUUGCACAAUGGGCGGAAGCCUGAUGCAGCAACGCCGCGUGCGGGAUGACGGCCUUCGGGUUGUAAACCGCUUUCGCCUGUGACGAAGCGUGAGUGACGGUAAUGGGUAAAGAAGCACCGGCUAACUACGUG
Molecule: ribosomal RNA, 468 nt
Filed under: uncultured bacterium
Lineage: Bacteria
Description: partial 16S ribosomal RNA
Rfam family: Bacterial small subunit ribosomal RNA
Source: RNAcentral